RNAcentral lists this ribosomal RNA (2088 nucleotides) under Paramoeba branchiphila. RNAcentral describes it as "SSU rRNA". It matches the Rfam family "Eukaryotic small subunit ribosomal RNA". The record is from RNAcentral. Lineage: Eukaryota; Discosea; Flabellinia; Dactylopodida; Paramoebidae.
ACCUGGUUGAUCCUGCCAGUAGUCAUAUGCUUGUCUUAAAGAUUAAGUCAUGCAUGUCUAAGUAUAAGAAUUUAUAUUUUCGAAACUGUGAAUGGCUCAUUAAAUCAGUUAUAAUUUAUUUGAUGGUCUCUUCCACUUGGACACCAGUGGUAAAUCUAGUGCUAAUACAUGCAUAAAAUCUUGACCCAUUUGGGAAAAGAUGUAUUUAUUAGAUUCAAAAGCCAAUAUCUCUUUGGGGAUUUUUUAUAUGGUGAAUCAUGAUAACUUAACAAAUCGUAUGGUCUUGUACCAACAAUAGUUCAUUCAAAUAUCUGCCCUAUCAACUUUCAAUGGUAGUAUAGAGGACUACCAUGGUGGUAACAGGUAACGGAGAAUCAGGGUUUGAUUCUGGAGAAGGAGCCUGAGAAACGGCUACUACUUCCAAGGAAGGCAGCAGGCGUGCAAAUUACCCAAUCCCAACACAGGGAGGUAGUGACAAAAAAUAACAAUAUUGAUGUUUUUAAAACUUUGAUAAUUGGAAUGAGUACAAUCUAAAACCUUUAACAAGUAUCAAUUGGAGGGCAAGUCUGGUGCCAGCAGCCAUGGUAAUUCCAGCUCCAAUAGCAUAUAUUAAAGUUGUUGCAGUUAAAAAGCUUGUAGUUGGAUUUUGAAAUGUUAUAAAAUAACCCGCUUUUAUAAGUGUGUUUUGUUAUUUUAUAUCUUUCUCCUUACUAGUUUUUCACUAUUAUUCUUUAUUGAUUGAUAGUUUCAUCUCUUUUUUGGAGGCGAGUGAUGAUUAGACCUCUUGGGUUUAAGAUUGUGGAUGAUUAUUUCGAUGAUUAUUCUGCUUAGAUUCAAGAACUAAUUAUUAGAAAUCUAGUUCUUUUACUUUGAGUAAAUUAGAGUGUUCAAGGCAAGCAAAUUAUUAUUGUUGCAAUGAAUACUAUUAGCAUGGGAUAAUGGAACAGGACACGUAUUCUAGUUUUCUGUUGGUUUCUAGAAUUUUUUGACUCUUUCGGGAGUCAGUAGUGUAAUGAUUAAAAGGGACAGUUGGGGGCAUUCGUAUUUCAUUGUCAGAGGUGAAAUUCUUGGAUUUAUGAAAGACGAACUUCUGCGAAAGCAUUUGUCAAAGAUGUUUUCAUUAAUCAAGAAUGAAAGUUAGGGGAUCGAAGACGAUCAGAUACCAUCGUAGUCUUAACCAUAAACUAUGCUGACCAGGGAUUGGAAGAUGUAUUAUCUAGUGUAACAGCUAGAAAACUCCUUCAGUACCUUAUGAGAAAUCAUAAGUCUUUGGGUUCUGGGGGGAGUAUGGUCGCAAGGCUGAAACUUAAAGGAAUUGACGGAAGGGCACCACCAGGAGUGGAGCCUGUGGCUUAAUUUGACUCAACAUGGGAAAACUUACCAGGUCCAGACACAGUUAGGAUUGACAGAUUGAGAGCUCUUUCUUGAUUCUGUGGGUGGUGGUGCAUGGCCAUUCUUAGUUGGUGAAGUGAUUUGUCUGGUUAAUUCUGAUAAUGAAUGAGACCUCAGCCUACUAAUUAGUUAUGCAAAUGAUUACAUUCUUUAUGAAGAGGGUUUCUGUUAGAGCUUUGGGUUUGACUUGGAGAUAUAAUAGAAAAACUCGUUUUCAUUUGUUAGAGAUUUGAUGUUUCGACUGAUGAUUUCGAUAAUGACUUCUUAGAGGGACACUUGGUGUUUAACCAAGGGAAGUUUGAGGCAAUAACAGGUCUGUGAUGCCCUUUAGAUGUUCUGGGCUGCACGCGCGCUACACUGAUACGAUCAACGAGUACUGAAGACCUUGGCCCGAAAGGGUUGGGUAAACUUUUGAAAUCGUAUCAUGCUGGGGAUUGAUAAUUGCAAUUAUUUAUCAUGAACGAGGAAUUCCUAGUAAGCACAAGUCAACAGCUUGCGCUGAUUAUGUCCCUGCCCUUUGUACACACCACCCGUCGCUCCUACCAAUGUUUGGUCUGGUGAAAUCUUAGGAUUUGUGGCAUACACUUGUUUUUACUCUUUUGUGAAGAUAAGUUUGCUGUGGAUAAUUUGAGUAAACCUUGCCAAAUAGAGGAAGGAGAAGUCGUAACAAGGUAUCCGUAGGUGAACCAGCGGAAG